This 193-nucleotide ribosomal RNA is filed under the name uncultured bacterium. RNAcentral describes it as "partial 16S ribosomal RNA". It matches the Rfam family "Bacterial small subunit ribosomal RNA", at positions 338 to 521 of the family's 1533-position model. The record is from RNAcentral.
CCUACGGGGGGCAGCAGUAGGGAAUUUUGCGCAAUGGGCGAAAGCCUGACGCAGCGACGCCGCGUGAGGGAUGAAGGUCUUCGUGAUCGUAAACCUCUGUCAGGAAGGAUUAAAGUACGGGUGUUAAUACCACCCAGUAUUUGACCUAACUUCCAGAGGAAGCCCCGGCUAACUACGUGCCAGCAGCCGCGGU